Long non-coding RNA from Rhinichthys klamathensis goyatoka, 677 nucleotides. RefSeq lists it as uncharacterized. The transcript is spliced from 2 exons. Lineage: Eukaryota; Metazoa; Chordata; Actinopteri; Cypriniformes; Leuciscidae. The record is from RefSeq and is a predicted model, not a curated record.
AUUUGGUCUCUGUAGUUUCCUCACCACUGAGCCAGUUGCAUCAAAACUCACAGUGGGGGUGGCCAAAUUAGGCAGAUGACUUGGCUCAGGAUCUCCAAAAUCCAUCAGCUUUGUUGCCUCUGAUGCCCUCCAUACAUGGGGUUCCUUUCUACCCUCACACAGUUCUUUGGAUAUCUGCACACGCAAGUUACCAGACAUCGCACGCUUGGAACAGCCAGUAUGCAGGGAGUCAUCAGUGUUUUUAAGUGAACACCUGAACUUCAUUGUGCUGUUUAUUUCAGGCUUUUUUUCACAUUUUAUGUGAAUGUGGCCACGGCACUCCUUACAGUUGCCUCUGAUUACAAUAUAUUUGUCUGUGACUGAUGGAUAGACCUUGGCUCUUUUAAAAGCAAAUGUGCAGGGGCAUUUCACUUCUUGCCAAAUGUGAUGAUUUAUCACAUGCGUCCAGAUACCAAGCUUCAAAAUUGUGUAUUCCCUUUUUUUUGUUUUAGGGAACUUGUUUUUGUAUGUUACUGUUUCAGGCAUAAAUUCAAUCCAUUUCUGAAAUGGAACUUCAAAAUCAAAAGUGCAGCAAUCUUUUGGACUGGAGGAAAGGGACCCUGGCUCAAAAUCAGUGUCAUCACUACUGCCACUUGUUUCAUGAUCACUUUCAUGAGUAAACCCUAAAGCAGUCCAGA